UUGACUGUGCCCUGAACGAAACAGCCGGCCCUGCUCCCGGUACCCGGGCCGUGGGUGCCCGACGGCUGUCCCUCCCCAGGCUGCGUGGGGCACCAGCUCCGCGUCUGCUCGCCCAGGGGCGGCCUGGCAGUGGCCUGCCGGGGGCGACGCGCGGCGGGCCACGGUCCUCCCCUCGGCUCGGCCCUGCCCGGCCCCGCGCCGCGCCGAAAGCCCUUCAGCCCCGGCCUAGCCGGAGCUGCCUUGCGGCAGGCGCAGCCGAGUGGGCGGGGGUGGUAGGUGUAUGCAGCAGCAGAGCCCAUCGGUUGAUAGCGUUAAUUACCAUCGCACGGUGCCCGAGUUCGCUAGGCUCCAUGCAGCGCGGAAUAAAGUGACAUAUUCCCUGCCCCAGGGAGUGCACAAUCUCCAGUGGAUCUGACAGCACGGGGGUGUGACAGAACACCACGGGGCUGCAGCAAGAGAGUCGUGCUGCUGAGGACUCCAUUCACUUCAGGACUGCAUAUGAGAGAAGACAACAGCUCCUAAGGCCUCUGGAGUGACAGUGUGGAUGUGACCCCAUAGGGGUAUGACAGAACACUGCAAGGCUGCAGCCUUGGAGUUGCAGGAUACAGUCCCUGGAAAAUGGUAAAAAUGCCAUCAUCAGCCUGUAUGGCAAUCUAAACACACAGAAUUACUUUUAAACUAAACACUCCUUUUGGAACAGACACUGGUGUUUGUACGUAAGCAAAACCAUUGCUGCAAUUUAAAUACUAAACAGUGAAAUUGUUGAGGGACAUGGCAGCUCUUGUCUCAUACAUUUUUUUGUGGGAUUGAAAAUGCAGGCAGAAGCAGAGUUAAGAAAGAAUGUUCCAUUUCUUCCGUCCAGACUGCUGUCUCUGGCAUUUGCUGUUGCUGAGGGCAAAAACAGCAUGGAUUUUGAAGGGGAUUAGACAGACUGGCUGGUUGGAAUGCCAGUCCUGGGCACUGGCCUAACAAUGGGUAUUUAAGGGAAAUAAAAACCUCUCGAGUAAUGGGUCCCAACUGGUGAGACUAGACUUGUCCCACAGGUGAAAUGCAGGACUAGAGUCAAUGGCUGUGCUCCCUCCCGGCUUGCACAGUGCCCCUCACUGGAGGUGAAAGUGUCCAGGGCAGGGUCCAGGACUUCCUUCCUGCCUCCCCUCUGUAGUAGCUGAGCAUCUCACUCUCUGCUUUCUUUACCAGCUUUCCUCCCUGAACUUGACAUUUGAGUUCACCUCAGGCAUCUCACUUGCUGCUUUCUCUGUUGAUCAAGGAGAAAAAGGGACCCAAAAGAGGGAAAGUAGGCAAUAGCAGCAGGUUGCUUUGUUGCACCACUUGCUGCCUUUACUGUGAUGCCUGUUGUGACUUCUGUCUCAAGGUCACUCCAGCUCCCUCACAUCCCUUUCCCCACAGACCCCAGCAUUAUCCCAGUGUCUCCAGGUAUAAUUUCCUAUGUCUAACCUUGGUAGGUGAAGGCUAUGCAUUCAGGUUUGCUCUAGGAAUAUUGAGAAGCAGUACUCUAGUGUAAAGCUUGAUAAGGAGGUGGGUGCACAAGUUGAAAACCUGGGUUCCUUCUUCGUUCAGCUGCUUUUCAGGAGGUGUUAAGGACUGCAUAAAGCUUUUGUAUAUAAAGCUUACAGCGGGCAUAAUGCAUGUAGAUAUGUUUGAUUAGGUCUAGAUUUGUUGAGAAGGAUAUGCUUGACUAAUUGAAAGGUUAAGUCAUUGAGGCAACAUGUAAACAGAUGGGAUUUAAAGGCAACAGUCAAUGGAAAGAAGAAAAGACGGAAGGGUGAAAUAUGGGUAGAGGGCAGGAUUAUCAAGGUACAAGCCAAACACCAUUGUUCUUUCUAAGGAAGACAACUGUAGUCUCCAUCUGUUGGGAGAUCUCUUGAGCAUUUCUGCCAGAGGCUGCUUAGGUGAAUGCAAUAAAAACGUGAGCAGGUCUUUUGUUCAAUACUAGUAGCAGUCAGGUGAUUUGAGCCUUUGCAUCUUACCUCUGGGUAAGCUUUCUGUGUUAAAGAUCAUGCAGCACUGGAGAGAAUCUACCCUGGAAGUUCCAUUUCCUCUGGCAGAAAAGUUCAGCUUGAUCUUAGAAAGGAAAUUUUAAAGUAUGGAAACUGAGAGGAAAAAACGCACUCAUCAGAGGAUCUGUAGGGAGAGCAGAGUUCCCAGACCAUCAAAUCUCUUCCACUACAACUGGCAAACUCCGUUUUUCUUCUUUACUGGCACAUUUUAAGCAGGGGGAUUGCCUUCUGUUGCUUCUAAGAUAUCGAGGCAAAUCCAUUUGUACAGUAAGAUAGCUGGAUUAGUGGAUUUUUUUGGUACCGAAUCUGAUCUCCUGGGAUAGCAUGGGCAAAGUUUGAGGAGACUGUGCAGGGGAGUUUUAUUGGAAUAUACCUUAGGUGUGAUGAAUGGUAAUGGCAUAUGUCAUUUACUAAGUUCAGAACAGAGUUCUGUGAUUCGUGACAUAAUGUCGUACCAUCCUGCAGCAGUGGGGUUUUCAGCCAGCUGAUGUGAAGAUUGAAGUUGGAAGAGAAUCAAUGCUUACAUUCUUUCUUACUCCCAAAGAUGAAAAUGAACUCGUACAGUGUAACUAUGGUGUUCUGCUAGCACGCAUUGCUAAAUGACUCAUGUAAAAUUCUCAAAGGAGUGACCAUAGUGGGGAGUCAGGAAAACAACAGGAAAAACUGUCCAUAGUUAUUGUAGACAUGAAUUAAAUACAAAAGAAAUAAAAUGGAUCACAAGAAGGACAAGCAUCAAAGACUGAAUGGUGAUGUUUUCCUGUCACAGCUAGGACAAAGAAAAUAUUGCUGUUCAAAAAAGUGGUUUUAAGUGUGUUUCAGAAGACAAAACAGUAGCAUGAAAAGCAAAUUCCUUCGCUGCUUAAAAGCAUUUUAGCAUAUAAAGGAAAAGAAUGAGCU
Harpia harpyja (harpy eagle) is the source of this 2915-nucleotide long non-coding RNA. RefSeq lists it as uncharacterized. The record is from RefSeq and is a predicted model, not a curated record. Lineage: Eukaryota; Metazoa; Chordata; Aves; Accipitriformes; Accipitridae. The transcript has 2 exons.